GAUUUAUAAGAUUUUUUCAUGUCUAUAUAUUUCUUAUUCUAAUUAGCUUAACCAUAAGCUAGGCUUGAAUUUAACAGGGGAAGAAAAUAGGAAGAACAAGUUUUUGGUGAAGUGAAGAAACAAUAUGAUAUUGAUAGGUUACCUCGUACCCAUCAUCCUUGUGGUGGGCAUGAUCAUCUUGACUUUUGUAUGGAUAUGGUGUGGCUGCGAGCGGACACGAGUGACGCCUAAUUCUUAAGCUGUAGAACUUUUCUAUUAUCAAUGCAUCAAGACUGUUUUCUUACAAUAUGAUUAAUUAAUCUAUUAGUAAGCAAUAGAAUAGCCUAUGUAUUGAUAUUGUGACGCUGCAAUGUUUUUUUUAUCAUUCAACAAUUAAAAGUUUUGUUUAUGUUCCUUUUGAUCUACAUAUUUUGUUGAUAUACUAUUAUGCUACACGAUUUUUGUGUGUGGUAAAUUUUAAGAUUUAUCACGCGAUUAAUAAUUUACUAAUGGUGAAUGCUAAUAUCUUAGAGAAAAUCAUGAGUAUGAUCCACAAAAGAAUUUUAAUUUGACGACCAAAUCAACAUUGAUCCAGUAUAGGCUCCAGAUUUUUCAGCGUAUUAAACAAAAAUAAUUUAAUAAAAAACAAAAAGUAAUAAGGUAAAAAAAAUUAUUGAAUCUAUACUAUUAUUUGCAAAAUAAUUUUUUACUAAGUUUUUACUUUAAAAUUUAAGGUGGCUAGUGACUAAAUUUUUAGUGGUCUUAAUGAAUAAUUAGAUUUUGGUAAUAUAUAACUAACCAUAAACUAAAAGAAAAUUCAUUGAUAUGAUAUUUAUCAUUAUCUAAAAAUAGUUUAUAUUGUGUUACAAAAUCUUUAUACACUUUAAUAAAUAAUUAAAUUAGUUAAUAUAUAAUUAACUAUACACUAAAAAUGAAUUUAAGUGACUUGAUGAUUAUCAUUAUAUAAAAAUAUUUUAUAUUAUGCUAUAGAAAAAUUAUUUUACAUCAUAUAUAGAAAAAAAGAAAUAAAUAUCAGAGGAACCUGUGGAAAAACAAAGGCAAUCUUCAAAGAAAGAAGACAUGGAACAGAAUCUGUCUAAGGACCAGUCAUGUCUGGAAGACAAACAACACUAUGAAUCUCUUAAGGCAGAUGAAAAUGAAGCUAUAGAGUUAGAAAAGGAAGAUGAUAGUUCCUCUUUAUCUGCUAAACUUGGAGCCAAAGAUGAGCUAACUAUCAAAAAGUUAGCAGCUAUGGGACAGAACUUGUGGCCUAUGGCCAAUGAGAUUGAAGCUAUGGAGUCCGAAAAGGAAGAUGCUGAUUCAUCUUUCAAAACAAUAGAUACAGAAAUGACUUUAUCUGCUAAACAUGAAGACGAAGUUGAGCUAACUUUAAACAAGUUAGAAGAAGCACAUGAGACUAAUCAAUAUGUGGAGAAGGAAGAAACAAACCCUAGCUUGUCUCCCAAGAAAGAAGACACACAACAGUCAGGGCAACAUGUACAAGUCCAUGGAGGCUCUGAUCAAGAUGAGACUACAUACGAGGCUCUUAAAAACAAGGUGAAGGAGAUGCAGAAGACAAUUGAAUACUUUAUGAGCAUGCACUCAGCAGAAGAGAAUCAGUCUCCAUCUUUUAACACAAUAAGUGUCAACACCAGUCCAGGAGAUAGCUUGAAGAUGAUGAGAAGAAGCCGAAGCUGCCGAGAAAACCUCUUGUUCACAAAGGCUGUUGCAGCUGCUGCUAGCGGACGCUUCACAUUCAACACAUCUAACAACGCAUCCUUUGAUUUAGACAACACUCUCUCCACCGAUGCACAGAGCACCAAAGAUUCAGAUACUGAGACUAGCGGUGGUAGCUUCCAUGAGUUUAUGGCGGGGCUUAAACAGAUGGCGAUGCAGCAUCAUUCAAGGCAUGAGUCUGAAACUGAAGCAGAGAAGACAAAGCCCGAAAGGGACACAAAGGCAGAGUUUGAGAGACAGCAAAGCCAGAUAAUUGAGCUCUGGGGGGUUUGUAAUGUACCUCUGGUUCACAGAACAUACUUCUUCUUGCUCUUCAAAGGCGAUCCAUCAGACUUUGUCUACAUGGAAGUGGAGCUAAGGAGGCUAUCUUUCCUCAAGGACUCGCAGGAGAUUGUGAGGAAACAAAGUGCUAAAACGCUGGGGCGAGAGAGAGAAUGGUUGGCUAAGCAAAUACCGAAGAAGUUUGGAAGAAAGGAGAGAGAAGGAGUUUACAAGAAAUGGGGUGUUGAGUUGAGUUCAAAGCAGAGGAGCAUGCAAGUGACACACAAGGCAUGGACCAAGACCAAAGACGUGGAUCAUUGCAAAGAGAGUGCUUCUCUUGUGGCUACUUUGGUUGGAUUUGAUGAAUCAAACAUGACGCCAAAGGAGAUGUUUGGACUUAGCUUCUCACCUACAACAACACUCGACGUUAAAUCAUCUGGCUGGAGUUUUUCUAACUCUUUCUCUCGUAUUAGCUUGACCGGUGGAUUAUAAAAGAACCAUUUUAUUUUAUUUUUUUAAUUCUCUUUGUGUUUGUGUAAACAGUUAAAAGUGAAGAGGUGUGCAAGAUAUGUAUCACUCACAUUAUUUGCUAUUGCUAGACCUAUUCUUUGUCGUCGACUUAUUUAAUUUGUUCAGUAUCGCAUUGAUAUAAACUUAAUAAAACAAAAAAAAACUUAAUAAAACCAAUCGAAUUAUAAAUGUUUUGUUUUCGUUAAAUGAUAUUCUAACUCUGUUCUACAUAUUUAGUUGUUAUUUGUUAUACAUUAUACAACACGGUUAAUACUAUACUAAUGGUGAAUGCUGAUAUCUUACAGAAAAUCAUGAGUAUGAUCAACAAAAUAAUUCUAACUAUUGUUAAGAUCCGAGUCUUAUGCAGAUGAACAUUAUAUAUAUAAAUUAUUUUACGUGUAUAUAUUUUUUACAUAUUAUGAAAUAAUAAUAAAAAGUUUGGAACUAUUAUGUUUAUAAUUAAAUAAUUGGUGCGAACAUAUAAAUAAAAUGGAAUUUUCAUGUUUACCAUUUUCUCAAUACUAUUAUUCAUGUUUACUACCACUAAAGAGACAUUUUCAAAAACACAUUUUUCAUUAAUUGGCAAAAGACUCUUAUACUCUUGUUCUAUAUAUAUAUCUUUUAAUCUUAAAACUUAUUAAAUGAGACUUUCUACUAAUACGAUUUUGUAAUCAUUUGUAUAUUUUCAUAACAAAAAUUUUAAACUAUGGAUCACAAAAUUUAAAUGUGAGAUUUUUAAAAUUUAUAGUAAUUUAUAGUCAUUUUAAAAAAUUCAAUACAUAACAUAUACAGAAAAAAUAUAAAUUUUUAUUAUCCAGUUAAUAUGCUUGUUUAAUUUAUUUUAAUAGUUUCAAAUUAAACAGAUAUGAUAAAAAUAUAUUUUAUCAAAUAUUUACUAUUUAAAAUUAUUAAUUUUCAUAUAUAUUUUAGUCAUAUUAGGCAGUUACAUAUAUUGCCUAAUCAUUAGAAAAUCUAAAGACUUCCUCCUUUCCAAGGGAGAUUCAAAAGAUUUAUAAGAUUUUUUCAUGUCUAUAUAUUUUUUAUUCUAAUUAGCUUAACCAUAAGCUAAGCUUGAAUUUAGUAGGGGAAGAAAAUAGGAAGAACAAGUUUUUGGUGAAGUGAAGAAACAGUAUGAUAUUGAUAGGUUACCUCGUACCCAUCAUCCUUGUGGUGGGCAUGAUCAUCUUUACUUUUGUAUGGAAAUGGUGUGGCUGCGAGCGGACACGAGUGACGCCUAAUUCUUAACCUGUGUAACUUUUCUAUAUCAAUACAUCAACUAUUUUCUUACAAUAUGAUGAAUUUAGAGAUUAGUAAGCGAUAGAAUAACAUCUAUCUUAUUAAAAUAAAAGUACAAUAAGAAAUACUCCUAAAACUUAUAACUUAUUUACAAAGCAAUGCCACUGAAGUAAUAAAUAAACUUAAAUCUAAAUUAAUUUUUUUCCUAAAUUUAUUCCACAACAAAUUCAUGAUAAAUAUUACACUUAAUGCCCAUUAAUACUAUAUUAAAUAACUUCUUUCCAUAAAAUUGUGGGUAUUAUCCUCUAUUAAAUAAUGUUUAUUACAUUUUUUAAAAUUUUAUUAUUAAUGAUAUCAAUUAACAAUAUUUAAAAAAUUUAAAAGAUAUGCCGUAUUUGAGAAUAAAAACUUAAUAAUGAGAAAAUAUUUAAAAAGAUCUAUUUUACUUGAUAAUUCUAAAUUUGGACCUAAUUGACUUUUUUAAAUAAUCAAUUUGACUAAUCUAUUUAAUUAACGAUAUUGUUUUAGAUAUAUAUAACUAAAAUGCUAUUAGAAAAUUAUUUUUAAAUUAUGUAUGAUAUUACAUAUGUUCAAUUGAAUCUUACCUUAAAUUAUUUUUCUUUAGUAAGGCUUUGAAAUAUUAGAUAUGGUAAUAACAUGUACAUUUAAGUAUUAGUAUUAAAAAAAUUAAAAACACCUAAGAUUUUUCUUAUGAGAAAAUUGUAAAAGGAAAAGUUUCAAAAGAAUAUUCUUCAAGUUUUGUACGUAAAGAAAAACAUUUAGACAAGAUAACAAUGUUCUAAAAAACGAAAAAAAGUUCAUAUAAAAUAAAAAUAUUACAUACAAUAAAAUGUUAAAGUCAAUAAGUUAAAAUAAAAUUAAUUUGAUAAUAAUAUAAAUACAAGAAAUGCAAUUACUCAUUCUAACAAAUUACUCAUUUUAAUAAGUAUAAUAUAAAUAUUUUAGUGUUAAAAAUGGAUGACGAAUAUUUAUAUAUCGGGUUGAGAAAUUAAAAAUUAAGACUACUUAUAUAACGGGUUGGAAAUUUAAAUAUAGUUAUCAUUUAUGACCAAAAACCUAUCAAAACAUCUCAAAUAUUGUUUUUACAUAUAUAUUUUAGUUUAUGGAAAACACACACAUAAACUAAAAAUAAACUAAAAAUAUAUAUUUUAAUUAUUAUGCGUAAUGUCAUAAUAAAAAAUACAUAAUACGUGAAAAAUAAAUAUAUAUUAUAUUACUUAUAGAAAACAAAAGUAUAUUUCUAAAAAAUGAAAAAUUGGUUUCUUUUUUUUAUUGGGAACCCAAAUGUUGUAAAUAAUUCUUUCCAACGUGUAUCAAACGUUUUUACAUAUAUAUUUUAGUUUAUGGAAAACACACACAUAAACUAAAAAUAAACUAAAAAUAUAUAUUUUAAUUAUUAUGCGUAAUGUCAUAAUAAAAAAUACAUAAUACGUGAAAAAUAAAUAUAUAUUAUAUUACUUAUAGAAAACAAAAGUAUAUUUCUAAAAAAUGAAAAAUUGGUUUCUUUUUUUUAUUGGGAACCCAAAUGUUGUAAAUAAUUCUUUCCAACGUGUAUCAAACCUGACCAAUGAAAGGCUACUAGCAUUUCCUUUACCACUAGCCAACUCAAUAUCGGAUAAAUAAAAAUGAUAUCGGUCAAAUAAAAACAAAUAUUCGUGUGAUAUUUACAUUUACAGUUAUAUAAAUCAUUUUACUUUUACUAUUAGUGGAAUUAUGUAACAUCAAUAUAUGUAUUAUGUGAUGUAUUUUUGUCACCAUUUUAUUAUCAUUUUUAUAGUUUAUAUAAUGGUGUAAGAAAUAUUUAGUUACAUUACGUAAACAAAAAAAACCCGCCCGGUCGGGCGGAUCCAGCUCUAGUAUGUAUUGAUAUUGUGACGCUGCAAUGUUUUUUUUAUCAUCAAUCUAUACUAUUAAAAGAGAAGUACAAAAAUAAAAUAGGGGAAAUUACAUGUUUACCACUUUUCAUUUUUACCACCACUAAAGGGACAUUCUCAAAAAUACAUUCUCCACUAAGCGGCAAAAGAAUCUUAUGCCAUUGUUCUUUAUAUAUAUAAUAAAUAAAAAUUUAAAUAAAUAAAAAUUUAAAUAAAUAAAAAUCUAAAAAAAUAAAAAAUAACUUUUUUUCAAAUAAUACCAUUUCGAAAUUCAAACCCUAAACUAGGGGUGUUCAAUCCGGAUAUCGGUUCGGUUUAGGUUCGGUUUUUUCGGUAUUUAGGUUAGUAAAAUAUAACUACCGUUUUAAAUCCAUAUUUACUUCGGUUCGGUUCGGUUUAUAUACCGUCGGUUUUCGGUUUAUUCGGUUUUAUACCAAAAAACAUAAUUAUUUAGUUUGAGAUCAUAUUAUAUGAAUUUUAGAGUCAUAUUGUCAACACAGUCAUUUAUUAAAAAUAUAUUACAUGUUCAAAUAAAUGAACAAAAACGUAAAAAUGCUUCUACCAUCAAAUAAAAUCAUCAAAUCUAUAAUUAAAAUCAGAGCCUGAAAUUUUGAAAAUAAAAAUAUGAAACAAAACAGAAACAUGAAAGAAAAGUUUUUUCACUCUUCCAUAUUUAUUGUUCAUAAAGUCAUGCUUUUUCAAUCGAACACGAAACUCUGUUUGUUUACAGAUAAGAAAAAAGUUGUGAAAAUUUUUCAUUAAUUAUUGUCCAUCAAAUUUAUAAUUUUCAUAUUAAUUUAGUGAAGACUAAAAUAAAGCAAAAAGAUCAAAAGAAAACUUAGAAAAUAAGAUGUCUGAAUUGCGAUGUAUUGUUAUUUAGUUAUAGUUCAAGUGUUUUACAAAUUAAGGUUUUUUAUUACUAUAAAAUUAUGGUAAUAGUUAUUAACACAAAUUUAACUUAUGUAACAAAUAGAUUUUCAUGUAUUGUUAUAAAAUAGAUACAUAUUUACAUGUUUCUACUUUUAAUCGGUUUUGUUCGGUUUAUUCGGUUUAAUCGGUUAUAUACCAAACCAUAUCCAAAUCCUACGGUUUUUAUAAAAUUAUAUCCAUUCGGUUUAUAUGGUAUAUACCAAAACCAAACCAUAUUGUCUAUUUCGGUUCGGUACGGUUCGGUUUUACCAUAUUGAACAGCCCUACCCUAAACCCUAAAACUAAACUCUAAACCCUAAACCAUCAAUCCUAAACCCUAUUUUUUCGAUAUACGAACCCUAAACCCUAAACCAUCAAUCCAAAACCCUAUUUUUUUUAAAUACGAACCCUAAACCCUGAAACAUCAACUCUAAACCCUAAACCCCGAAACCUUCAACUCUAAACCCUAAAACAUCAACUCUAAACCCUAAACCCUAAACUUCAACUCUAAACCCUAAACCAUCAACACUAAACCCUAAACCCUAAAAAGUAAACUCUAAACCCUAAACCCUAAAAAAUUUAAACUAAACCAUAAAACAUCAACUCUAAACCCUAAACCCUAAACCCUAAACCUUCAACCCUAAACCCUAAACCCUAAAUCCUAAACCCUAAAAUCCUAGAGUUGAUGUUUUAGGGUUAAGAUUUGAAGGUUUUGGGUUUAGGGUUUACGUUUAGGGUUUAGAGUUGAUGUUUUAGGGUUUAUAUUUGAUGGUUUAGUGUUUAGGGUUUAGAGUUGAUGUUUCGGGGUUUAGGGUUUAGAGUUGAUGUUUCAUUGUUUAGGGUUUAGAGUUGAUGAUUUAGGGUUUAAAGUUGAUGUUUUAGGUUUAGAUUUAGGGUUUAGGGUUUACGUUUAGGGUUUAGAGUUGAUGUUUUAGAGUUUAGAUUUGAAAGUUUAGGGUUUAGGGUUUAGGGUUUAGAGUUGAUGUUUUAAGUUUAGAUUAGUUAUUUUUUGUCAAAGUUAAUCAAAAUGUUAUAAAUGUCUUUUACCCUUCAUUAAAGAUGAGGAUAAAAGUGGUUAGUGUAAACAUGAAAAGUGGUACUUUGAAAAUGGUAUUUUUGGCAAUUUCCCAAUAAAAUACCCCUUAAUUUUUUAACUUAUUUACGAUAGCAUGUCACUGAAAUUAUUAAUUAACUUACCUUUUAUGAUUCUUUGUCUUUUCUUCUUUAUUUAAUGUAUUUCAUUUAUUUAUAAAAAAUAAAAAUAAACAUCCGCGCUGGCGCGCGGAUCAAGCUCUAGUUCAACAAUUAAAAGUUUUGUUUUUGUUCCUUUCGAUCUACAUAUUUUGUUGUCAUACUAUUAUGCUACACGAUUUUUGUGUGUGGUAAAAUGUUAAGAUUUAUCACGCGAUUAAUCGUAUACUAGUGGUGAAUGCAAAUAUCUUAGAGAAAAUCAUGAGUAUGAUCCACAAAAGAACUUUAAUUUGACGAUCAAAUCAACAUUGCUCCAGAUUUUUCAGCGUAUUAAACGAAAAAUAAUUUAAUAAAAACCAAAAAGUAAAAUGGUAAAAAAUGAUUAUUGAAUUUAUACUAUUAUUUGCAAAAUGAUUUUUUACUGAGUUUUCACUUUAAAAGUUAAAGUGGCUCGUGACUAAGUUUUUAGUGGUCUUAAUGAAUAAUUAGAUCUUGGUAAUAUAUAAUUACUUGGUACCUGUUCGGAACUACGCUAGGCGCUAGUCGGUUGGUGAUCCCGGGCCUAUCGAGUUACCGAAAAAUCGGGGAUUAAUCAGGGUAUACGCGGAGAUUAGUUUUUAUUAAUUUUUAAUUAUAAAUAUAUGUAUAUAUAUUAAUACAUGUGAAAAUUAGACAAUGGAACAACGUAGGCCAGUCGUACGAGAGUCAUUUGUUGCGGAUAGAGGUCCAGGGUACGAUUUUCUUGUUUUUAACUGCGCGAGACAGGAAAAAAAAAAUUUAGAAACCAACUGCAUUUGUCCCACAUCGACUAAUUUUACUCUAGGAGGCAUCUUGAGUCUUCCAUAAAUACAAGGAGAAAGUCUCCACUCUUUACUGGGCCUCUUCCAUGGCCCAAUUAUUUGUCACCAGAGUCCAAAGUUAAUUGAAUAAAUCGGUUUAUGUCCGAGUAGUCGGCGAUUAAUCGGUUUUUUAGACGAUUAAUUGGGUCUCCGAUCAGUUAAACCGAUUAGGGUAAAAUCGAGGCGGACCAAGUUGGUAUUAUGCCGUGGUAAGCUAAAGGGGGUAGGGUAUCUCUCUCGAAAAUAAUCUUCCCUCGACCACAAUCAAGGUGAGCUUGGUACCUUGACAGUCAAUCCAUCCCUAAAAUUACCUCGUACCUCUCUAAUGGGAGAACUAACAAAUGAGCCGGGAAAACCAUAUCUUGGAUAAUGAUUGGAACUCUUAGAAUGCAGCAUUCAGUUUCAACAUGACACAGCUGGCUACAAGUGAAACAAGUCGGGGUUCUAGGUCUAGGACCUCCAGAACGACCUCCCCGAAAAACUCUACCUCCUCGUCCUCGCGGCAUAGCAGAAUGUGGCUGAGGCUGACUUUGAACAGAUGGACGUCUAGGUGGUGUCGAAUGUCUAGAAGAAGCUCUAUCAGCAGCAAUGGCCUCCUCAACGUUCACAGCACGCUCAACAAGAUCAGCAAGCCAAUGAAACUCUACGGCCUCAAGUUUGCUCCUGAUAUAUGGGUUAAGUCCUCGAAGGAACUUACGGAUAAUCAUCAGCUCGUCCUCCCGACCAUAGUGGACAUACUUCAUGAGACGGGUGAACUCUGCCUCAUACUUCCUAACAGAGAAUCCGCCCUGAACUAGCGCCAUGAACUUAAUCUCCAAUCGAUCACGGGCCUCCGGUGGGAAGUACUUUCAAACGAACGCUGUACGGAAGUCAUCCCAACUCAGAUCGAAGUUUCAAAAGUUCCUCUCUACGCAUAACCACCAACUGAUGGUGUCCUUCUCUAGAUAGUAAACAGCCAUGUGCUUCUUGAAUUCUUCCGGACAACGAGUUGCAGCAAAGUUCUGCUCGAGAUUGUGCAGCCACGCAUCAGCUUCAAAGGGAUCAGUGCCUCCCUGGUAAUGCUUUGUCCCCAAGUUCUUCGUAAUCAUGACUAUCUUCAGGAAGUCCGAAUGAGAAGUGGUAGGUACUGGAGCUGGCUGAGCACACUAUGUAUCACGUUGUGCAUUCGGUGCUUGAUGUUUCAAAUUCACCAUCUCAGCCAUCAGUUCUAGAAGUGCUACUAUAGCUGGAUCUGUCGGCAGUGGUUCAGGUUGUGCUGCCGGAAUAGGUGCGGUAGGGGCUGGUGGAAUAUGAGCGGCAUGAGAUGCAGGAGCUGCGGGAUGAUCUCCGUGCACUGGACUAUCGUGUACCACAUCCACCUCGAUGUCCAAAAAGUACGUGUCUGGAGACAGUGGCAUGUGCACCGGUGUCUAAUUAUAUGACCCUUCAGACGGGUCAGUCUCAAAGCUAAAGCCCGAAGGUGUAGCCUCAAAGCUAGAGCCCGAAGGUGUAGCCUCAAAGCUAGGAGUCGGAAGUGGUGCCGGAGUAGAUAUCGGUAGAUAAGCUCUACCACGAUGUGCCUGUCUCGGUGGCAUCUGCUAUGAAAGAUCAUGGUAAGUUUCUACCCAGGUCUAUCUAUUUCUAAAAGAAGGAACAAACCAGCAUAUCCUAAUUAUCCUUGCGACACAUUUUUGACUCGAAUUUUUUUUUGAAACAAGUCCCAUUCUAGCAUCGUAUAACAAUGAUCUGAUACCACAUUUGUGACACCCCCGAUCGUAGAUAACCAGAAAUGUCACGGUCGAUGUUCCCUGAUGGUCGACCCGAGGUUCUCGAAAUAAAUCCGAUCGCCUUAGACCAACAACCAAAGAACACAGACGCUCCUAUCGGAUAUUACCCUAGGCUUUUCAACCCUAUAAACAAAUAUUUGAUAGUUAGUUCGUCUCGGACAAGGACUAAUAUCAUAUGAAAACUCGUGAUUUAUAAACAUCUUUUAUACAUUAUUUAUUUACUUUAAACAUCUUACAAAGUGUUAUAGUUUAAUCCUACGGUCUAUCGCCCAACAACGUUUUAAGUAAAUAUACAUCAAAAGGUACGUUGCAAGGACAACAAAAUACUACCGCUGGUUGGCCGUUUCUUCCGUCCAAAAGAGUAAAGUGUCUCCCGCCUAAGGGUUACCUGCACACACUAAUGAGUCAUGAGCAACUAGUUUACUCAGUGAAUCUAGAAUCACAACACAAUCAAUGAUAUAUCAACAAUUAUGGAAUGCAUAAACAUGAUCAUGCAAGUACUAGUACUAUACUUUAGUAUAUCAAUCAUCAUUGUGAAUUCUUAUUUUAAACAUCACUUCCACAACACCCGCCCAUUACCAUACUCAUAUAAUACAAUAUAUAUCCUAGACCUGAAAAACCACUAAGGCUAACUGAGACUAGUGAGUUAGCAUCACCAUCAUUGUCGAAUGUCCGGUAUAAACAAUUCGACACUGCAUCGUCAUGCAGUACACGGUCUCCAGGGAGCUACCCCAUCAUCGUGUCUUCAUGACCUUGUUCCGUUCGCAGGACCAAGUCAUGGUAAUGCGGGGACUUUAGGGAUAGUGAAUAUAACAAGACUUCACAUGAUUUUACUUCCAUAAUUAUUCCAAAAUUAAUCCAUAAUUAAUCAUAAUUAAUCUUUAAUUAAUCCCAUAUCAAUCAUUAAUUAAUCUCAUAUUAAUCUUUAAUUAAUCCAAGAUUAAUCUUUAAUUAAACCAAGAUUAAUCCUUAAUCAAAACAAUGAUUAUUUCAUUAGUACUUGAGAACAAGUAUUAUGAUUAGGAUUAACCUCACUUUAACAUUUUGAUUAAUCUUUAAGUGUAAGUGUUACACUAAGUAAACACCAUACACUUCUUAAAGGAUUCAAAGACUUUACUAUCUAAUUGAGAUACUACAGUUUAAACUCAAUCAUGUACUCAUUCAUGAUCUAUCUCAUCUUCUGCCUAGACUCUCCUAAAGAACAGUCUUGAAACUGGCUUGGACAAGACUUGAGUUCCUCUUGAACAAAGCUGAAUGGACCAAGAGACUGAAUGGACAGGACUGGAUACUUCAAGCUUUACUCUACCUCUGACCAAGACAAACCAAAGGACUAGAUGGCCUCAGCUGAUCCUCUUCUCCAAGGUAAGCUUGCGGCUGGACUUCUGAUCUUUCUCAGAGCAACACUGAGCUAGGGUGGAAGAUUAAAUCACCAGCAAUUUUUCUUGAUUUAUUUUCCUGAUUUUUUUUACUGAUUUUUCUGUUCUUGUUCUGCUUUCUCUCUUUCUCUCUGAAAUUCUUUAGGUUUUUCUGUAAGUUUCAGAGCGUGGGAAGCAUCUGGAGGAGAGGUUUAUAUAUUUCAGAUGGUCUUUGGAUGAGUGUCCAGCUGAGGGACCAAAGAAGGGUAAGAAGAGACAGCUAGCAAGCUGCUACCGCAUCUGCACUAUGCUGUCCUUUCCCUCCCAUGAAACAGUUUCCAGCCAAUUAUAAUAAUCAGGAAGAGGGAGCAAGCACACAUGCAGCUUAUGAUUGUCAUGUGCCAUGUACUGAAGAAGCUAGAUAAGCAAGUAGGUGCAAUUCAUGUGAUUAAAUACUGAGCAAGCAGGCUGGUGGAAGACAUGAGUCUGGUCCAAAAUUAAUUAGGCAGCUGGUCGAUCAUUUUAAAUAAUUUUUCAACCAAAUAUUCCUUGUCUUUGGCUCUCGUCUUCCUCUCGGAAAAUCUCAUCCAGCUUAAUAAAAAUUCGACCAAAAUAUUUAAGACUCGACCAAACUAUCAAGUGAAGGUUUUUCGACCACAAGGCAGUCCCGUCGAAAAAUUAAUCUACCGAUAGAUUUUUAUUUUUAUUAAUCCUGAUCGAACCAACUAAAAACUGGUCGAACGAGAUUUUUCUUAUUGGCUCGUGAGGGUUAUUACAAUGAUCAUCUUGACUUCUGUAUGGAUAUGGUGUGGCUGCGAGCGGACACGAGUGACGCCUAAUUCUUAAGCUGUGUAACUUUUCUAUUAUCAAUGCAUCAACUAUUUUCUUACAAAAUGAU
Molecule: long non-coding RNA, 12576 nt
Filed under: Brassica napus (rape)
Lineage: Eukaryota; Viridiplantae; Streptophyta; Magnoliopsida; Brassicales; Brassicaceae
Description: long non-coding RNA (BNAP_LNC009513)
Source: RNAcentral